Molecule: ribosomal RNA, 248 nt
Filed under: uncultured bacterium
Lineage: Bacteria
Description: partial 16S ribosomal RNA
Rfam family: Bacterial small subunit ribosomal RNA
Source: RNAcentral
AGUAACGCGUGAGUAACCUGCCUUUCAGAGGGGGAUAACGUUCUGAAAAGAACGCUAAUACCGUAUGAGACUACAGAGCUGCAUGGCUCAGUGGUCAAAGGAGCAAUCCGCUGAAAGAUGGACUCGCGUCCGAUUAGAUAGUAGGCGGGGUAACGGCCCACCUAGUCGACGAUCGGUAGCCGGACUGAGAGGUUGAACGGCCACAUUGGGACUGAGACACGGCCCAGACUCCUACGGGAGGCAGCAUG